RNAcentral lists this ribosomal RNA (486 nucleotides) under uncultured bacterium. Its description in RNAcentral is "partial 16S ribosomal RNA". It matches the Rfam family "Bacterial small subunit ribosomal RNA", at positions 30 to 507 of the family's 1533-position model. The record is from RNAcentral.
AUUGAACGCUUGCGGCAUGCCUUACACAUGCAAGUCGAACGGCAGCACGGGUGCUUGCACCUGGUGGCGAGUGGCGAACGGGUGAGUAAUACAUCGGAACAUGUCCUGUAGUGGGGGAUAGCCCGGCGAAAGCCGGAUUAAUACCGCAUACGAUCUACGGAUGAAAGCGGGGGACCUUCGGGCCUCGCGCUAUAGGGUUGGCCGAUGGCUGAUUAGCUAGUUGGUGGGGUAAAGGCCUACCAAGGCGACGAUCAGUAGCUGGUCUGAGAGGACGACCAGCCACACUGGGACUGAGACACGGCCCAGACUCCUACGGGAGGCAGCAGUGGGGAAUUUUGGACAAUGGGCGAAAGCCUGAUCCAGCAAUGCCGCGUGUGUGAAGAAGGCCUUCGGGUUGUAAAGCACUUUUGUCCGGAAAGAAAUCCUUGGCCCUAAUACGGUCGGGGGAUGACGGUACCGGAAGAAUAAGCACCGGCUAACUACGUG